GACGAAGGGGGCUAGCGUUGUUCGGAAUUACUGGGCGUAAAGCGCGUGUAGGCGGUUGUUCAAGUCAGGUGUGAAAGCCUUGAGCUCAACUCAAGAAAUGCACUUGAUACUGGAUGACUAGAGGACCGGAGAGGAUAGUGGAAUUCCCAGUGUAGUGGUGAAAUACGUAGAGAUUGGGAAGAACACCAGUGGCGAAGGCGGCUAUCUGGGAAGAUACUGACGCUGAGGUGCGAAAGCGUGGGGAGCAAACAGG
Molecule: ribosomal RNA, 253 nt
Filed under: uncultured bacterium
Lineage: Bacteria
Description: partial 16S ribosomal RNA
Rfam family: Bacterial small subunit ribosomal RNA
Source: RNAcentral